Molecule: ribosomal RNA, 253 nt
Filed under: uncultured bacterium
Lineage: Bacteria
Description: partial 16S ribosomal RNA
Rfam family: Bacterial small subunit ribosomal RNA
Source: RNAcentral
CGGAGGGGCUAGCGUUGUUCGGAAUUACUGGGCGUAAAGCGCACGUAGGCGGAUUGGCAAGUUGGGGGUGAAAUCCCAGGGCUCAACCCUGGAACUGCCUCCAAAACUUCCAGUCUUGAGGUCGAGAGAGGUGAGUGGAAUUCCGAGUGUAGAGGUGAAAUUCGUAGAUAUUCGGAGGAACACCAGUGGCGAAGGCGGCUCACUGGCUCGAUACUGACGCCGAGGUGCGAAAGCGUGGGGAGCAAACAGGAUU